RNAcentral lists this ribosomal RNA (488 nucleotides) under Nematoda environmental sample. RNAcentral describes it as "SSU rRNA". It matches the Rfam family "Eukaryotic small subunit ribosomal RNA", at positions 58 to 544 of the family's 1831-position model. The record is from RNAcentral. Lineage: Eukaryota; Metazoa; Nematoda.
UCUACGCACAACGCCCAAGAAUGGUAAAGCCGCGAAUGGCUCAUUACAACAGCCAUAGUUUACUGGAUCUUACUUUCCUACUUGGAUAACUGUGGUAAUUCUAGAGCUAAUACACGCAUGAAAGCUCUGACCUCACGGGAGGAGCGCAUUUAUUAGAACAAAACCAAUCGGGCUCUCGGGCCCGCACAUUGGUGAAUCUGAAUAACUUUGCAGAUCGCAUGGUCUCGCACCGGCGACGUAUCUUUCAAAUGUCUGCCUUAUCAACUUUAGAUGGUAGUUUACACGCCUACCAUGGUUGUAACGGGUAACGGAGAAUAAGGGUUCGACUCCGGAGAGGGAGCCUGAGAAAUGGCUACCACAUCCAAGGAAGGCAGCAGGCACGCAAAUUACCCACUCCCGGCACGGGGAGGUAGUGACGAAAAAUAACGAGGCGGUUCUCUCUGAGGCCCGCCAUCGGAAUGGGUACAAUUAAAUCCUUUAACGAGGAU